This 2699-nucleotide long non-coding RNA is filed under the name Ananas comosus (pineapple). RNAcentral's name for it is "long non-coding RNA (ACOM_LNC003305)". Lineage: Eukaryota; Viridiplantae; Streptophyta; Magnoliopsida; Poales; Bromeliaceae. The record is from RNAcentral.
AAUUUCUCUGCAUUUCUUAGGAGUAGUCUACUUGUAAUCCUUUACUUUUCAGCACUUACUGCUUUUCCUAGGAGUAGAAUUAGACUAGAUCAACCGAGUCUGUAUGCCUUCAGGCACACUCGACCCUUGUACUUUUUCCACCAAUCAAAUUCAAUAUAUAUAAAGGUAACUCGGUUCUUUCGGCCGACCAACUACUGUGUUUUUCAUUCAUUCGGCUUCUUCGGCCGACUCCAGCUUUCACACAGUUCGUACAUUCGGCUCAUCUAGCCGAACCGAUUCUACAGUAAAAGUUUCGAACUCGGCUGAUCCGAUCCCUCAUCAGCCGAAUCGCUUGAUCCAGUCGAAGGGCGCAAACUUCGAGGGUCACCAAUCGUAGUCGUUCCGUAUCCCUACGCUAUUCCCGAAGGAGAUCUUUGAUCAGGUCAAGGAUCAGGAUGUUCGGCUCCCAACAACUAUUAAGCUCGAUGGGGCUUUUUGUCUUUGGAUGGAGCUUCAACUAAAACUAUUAUAAAUAGUUCUUAUUAAGUACUUUUCACUAAUUUUUCAGAUACGACCAUAAAAAUGAGAUCGGGUGAGACAAUGAUUAUUAAUUAGAUAGCAGCAUACUGGUAAUGUCUAUAAUUUUGUCUUAAGUUGACAUCCUAUUGUAUUUUGCGCUAUCAUUUUGGACAUGUAUUAGGCCAUAUAUAUUGGAAAUAAAAGUUGUAUUUCCUUGCUACUUGUUAAGUUGAAAAUAUAACUUAUUUAAAAUUUUUUAUUUGUGUUAAAAUGCAAUGGUUUAUGAUUAUUAAUUCGUGAUAUUAAAUUUUGAAGCUUUAAAUACGUGAGUUAUUUUGUAAAAAAUAUAAUUGCACUAGGAUGUUUGAUAUUACGCCGGGAAUACUUAAACUUUCCAUCUUAACUAUGUGGCGGUUCUGCAACAAUUGCUUCAUGAUGGUGCGUUCGCUGGUAGGAUUCUGUACAAAAGUUUACAUGCUGUUUCCAUUCUAUAAGGAUGCAUUUGGUUCGGAUUAUGCUGGCAGGAUUACAAGUAAUCUUGCCAGGAUUACUGUCUUUAGUUCAUCCAAUAUGUAAUCUUGGUUAAUAGUGUAGCAUUACAAAUGAUGCAGAAUUACACUGAAAAUAUUAAUAAGCGGGGGCUAGGUAUGUCGUAUUGCUGAUGGCGGCUUAUCUUGCAUUUAUAUUUGGCUAAAUUACAGAAAACUUCUCUGUCAAAACUCGAUUUUUCACUUUUCUCCCUAUCAUUUAAAAACCUACACUUUGCCCCCUUAUAAAAUGAAAAAUGUGCACUUCACCCCCUACCGUUAGUGAUCCGUUCGGAUUCCGUUAUAAAAUAUUUUUUUAUACCAAAAAUAUCCCUCCGCCCUCUUCCAUGUUGCUCCACCUCGCCGCCUUGCCCUCCCCCACUGCCUCGCCCUCGCCCAUAUCUCUGUCUGCGCCCACAAACACCCCUUCGCCCUCCUCCACCGCCUCGCCUUCGCCCUCGUUGGCCUUGCCCACUUUUCCAUCCACGUCUACCUCGAUUUCCUUCCUACUGUCGCCGAAAUCGAGGGGCGGCGAGAGUGCAGGAGGAGAAGGGGAGCAGGUGGAGAAGAAAAUGGAGAGAAACCGCGGCCGAUCGAGGCGGCGGUUGAGGAAGAUGAUGGAGGAGACGAAAAUGGUAAGGGGCAAAUGGUCAUUUUAUCAUCACAAUACACACCGUACCCCCUGUGAACAUUUUUUAUUUUACAAGAGGGCAAAGUGUAGGUUUUUAAAUGAUAGGGGGGAAAGUGAAAAAUCGAGUUUUGACAGGAGGGUUUUAUGUAAUUUAGCCUUUAUAUUAAAUUACAAAUUUAUCCUUCCGAACCCCCAAACCUUUACAAUACGCUCAUUUUCAAAAUUGUAAUUUCAAUUUUUAAAUUCUCAAAUUUUAAAAUUUAUAAUUUAAAUUUUAACUUUUAAAUUUUAAAUUUCAAUAUUUAAAUUUUAAAUUUUAAAUUUUNAAUGAUGACAAUUUUACUGCGCACUGGGAGCAUCGGAAGAAAUUCUAAGUAACCACCGCGCGAAUUAAGGGAAGUUACAGUAACCGCAAACAGUUCCAAGCGGUUCCAAUCGGCUGAAAGUGGCCUGAGAAAACAGGAAUAGUGGCCGAUCGUGAAUAGGGAAUAACUGAUCAAUAGGGGCAAUCUAUAAAUAGGCCAAUAACGCCUUGAAAAGAGGUCUUUUUUCCGAGAACAGAAGACCACUUUUAUUUUCUUAGCAAUUUCUCUGCAUUUCUUAGGAGUAGUCUACCUGUAAUCCUUUACUUUUUAGCACUUACUGCUUUUCCUAGGAGUAGAAUUAGACUAGAUCAACCGAGUCUGUAUGCCUUCAGGCACACUCGACCCUUGUACUUUUUCCACCAAUCAAAUUCAAUAUAUAUAAAGGUAAUUCGGUUCUUUCAGCCGACCAACUACUGUGUUUUUCAUUCAUUCAGCUUCUUCGGCCGACUCCAGUUUUCACACAGUUCAUACAUUCGGCUCAUCUAGCCGAACCGAUUAUACAGUAAAAGUUUCGAACUCGGCUGAUCCGAUCCCUCAUCAGCCGAAUCGCUUGAUCCAGUCGAAGGGCGCAAACUUCGAGGGUCACCAAUCGUAGCCGUUCCGCAUCCCUACGCUAUUCCCGAAGGAGAUUUUUGACCAGAUCAAGGAUCAGGAUGUUCGGCUCCCAACAACUAUUAA